CUUGCUAUUCAUUCAUGUGAGAAGGUAAGGAAGGCAAUGGUUAGUGGUGUAAAAGGGCUUUUGUCUAGUUGCAGUUCUACAUUAAAAAGAACCAAGAUGCUACUUUUGGAAUGUUUAUGUGUUCUGGCAUGUGAUGAUGCUGCAGCUGUGUCUGAGGCUGCACAAGAUGCUCUUGAUCAUCUUUUCAACCAAGGCCACAAUCACGUAACAGAAAAUGAGAUUUCUGAUACCUUUACUAGGCUGGUUGAAAGGCUACCACAAGUGGUACUUGGAAGCGAGGAGACAACUGCACUUUCACAUGCUAGGAUGUUGUUGGCUCUGACCUUUUAUGCUGGUCCCUAGUUUCUAAUAAAUCAUCUUCACCGUUCUCCUGUCAUUGCUGCUCGUUUCUUUGAUUGUUUGGGUUUAUGCAUAGGUCAUAGCUCACAGUUUUCUGGUUCCAUGGACAAGCUAAUUGUAUCAAAGCCACUAUCUAUUGGGUAUCUUUAUUCAGUUGCUGAGUUGAAGAGUGGCGCCUAUUCUAAAGAUACAACUAACAUAUCUCUGCAUGCCACGUCAACAUCUGCAGCCUCCAAAAUAUCUGUUAUCCAUGAUAAUGCUUUGCCAAAUGCAUUACUUGGUACAGUUGAAUAUGAGUUGCCCCAUGUGCCUCCAUGGUUUUUUCAUGCUGGUAGCCAGAAGCUUUAUGGGGUUCUUGCUGGAAUAAUUAGACUUGUUGGCCUAUCAACAGUGUCAGGUACCUUGUGAAUUAUUUUGCUUGUCAAAUCUACGAUUCAUGGACUGUUCUAUUUUUUCAUGCUGAGUCAGUACUAAACCAAAGAUCAUAACCCUUUCCUAAGAGGAACCCAACAAUAUGUAACUAAAAUUUAUUAUCAGUUCCCUUUAUCUUUAUCUGUUCAUGACUUUGCUUAUUGUUUCCUACUCAAGAUGGUCGUGCAUGGAGCUUUGUUCGACACCAAUGGCACAAUAUGUUCUCUACAUAUUACAAUAUGCAGUUGAUGGGUUCGAUUCCUUAAAGCUAACAGUAGUGGUUACUAGCCCUUGAAAAAUAAAUUUUGGACAACCAAAUUUCAUAGCAGCUUUGACUACUGUUGAAGUUGAUCUUUUUACUACUUUAGAUUGUCGUUGAUGUAAAUGUUCUUAGUGGUGCUUUGAGAUGACUAAGGAUCUAUAUCUGUCUUAAGAUUUGUCUUUUCCUUACAAGUGAAGAGAUUGCGUGGUUCAAUGAAGUAAUAACCUAUGAUCUAUGGGCCAGGUCUUUGAUGAGUACCUUAACUUGCAGGAUAGCAUACUCAUAUAGUAAUAUUGUUGCUUGUUGCUCUUAACAAAUUUCAUUCAGGAACUGGGCCAUGUUGAUGUUCAAAAGAGUUGUCAGAAGUUCAUGACAUCUGGUAUUUAUUAUAUCUUCUUUUGUAGUGGGCUGGUGUGGUCUGCUUAGCAGCAGGUAGCACUACAACCAGCAAUGUAUGGAUGAAUUGAAGAUAGUAAAGAACGCAGGCAAUCUUAUAGAAACUCUGCAUCUUGAAACUGGCAUGAUUGACAAAGAAGCUGGAUGCAUCCUUUGGAUUGGUGUCUUCUUAUCAUCAAGCAGUAAUGUGAAGCAAGUUCAUUUGUUGACUAAGAAUAGAUGAGCACAAAUCAGUGAAGAGUUCAUUGCACUAGAGAUGGAGGAUGGAUAGGUGGUAGAUUUCAAUAUGGCUUUGAUACUAUUGUUUCUCUUUACAAUCUUUGUACAGAACAAGAAAAAUGACGUUGUAUGUGGAUACUAUUGUAAUUCAAGAAUUUAUUUCUGAAUAAUAAAUAUAUUUGUUUAUAAUUUGUGUA
RNA transcript from Zea mays, 1824 nucleotides. RefSeq lists it as uncharacterized. The record is from RefSeq and is a predicted model, not a curated record. The transcript has 5 exons. Lineage: Eukaryota; Viridiplantae; Streptophyta; Magnoliopsida; Poales; Poaceae.